This 253-nucleotide ribosomal RNA is filed under the name uncultured bacterium. RNAcentral describes it as "partial 16S ribosomal RNA". It matches the Rfam family "Bacterial small subunit ribosomal RNA", at positions 524 to 776 of the family's 1533-position model. The record is from RNAcentral.
UACGUAGGGUGCGAGCGUUGUCCGGAAUUACUGGGCGUAAAGAGCUCGUAGGUGGUUCGUCGCGUUGUUCGUGAAAACUCACAACUCAAUUGUGGGCGUGCGGGCGAUACGGGCAGACUGGAGUACUGCAGGGGAGACUGGAAUUCCUGGUGUAGCGGUGAAAUGCGCAGAUAUCAGGAGGAACACCGGUGGCGAAGGCGGGUCUCUGGGCCGAUACUGACGCUGAGGAGCGAAAGCGUGGGGAGCGAACAGG